Long non-coding RNA from Lutra lutra (Eurasian river otter), 900 nucleotides. RefSeq lists it as uncharacterized. The record is from RefSeq and is a predicted model, not a curated record. The transcript is spliced from 5 exons. NCBI's taxonomy places the organism in Eukaryota, Metazoa, Chordata, Mammalia, Carnivora, Mustelidae.
UGGAUGCAUUCUGAAUUUGGUUAUUUUCCUCUGAUGAACCUUCAUGUUUUUGUUUUAGCAAGUGGUUAGUUUGGUUAUAUUCAAACAGAAACCUCUGCUUUGCCUAUGUGGGAAGAAAAAGAAUGAAAUUGCUAAAAUGUGAUUUUAGAGGAAGCAUAUAAAGUUCUUUUAAAAAAAAAUUAAACUCUCUAUAACUUUCAACCAACAGAAUGUGGCCUAAAAUGAGAGGAAAUUCCAACACAACUUGACAUGAGGCCAGCAGUAAGUCUGGAGGAAGCCAGUAGUGACAGCUUAUGGAGAAGCACAUGUAGGGAGAAACAGAGGCCUUGGCUAACAGACAACGACCAUGAGAGUGAGCUUAGAAGAAGAUUCUUUAAUACCAGUCAAGUCUUGAGAUGACAGCAGCAGCAGCUGACAGUUUGCCACUUCUUGAGUGCCUGAACCAGAACAAUUCAGGCCAGGAAUAGAAGACAAGGCAAUGGGAAGAACAUAAUGAGCAAAGACAUGAAGUGAACUGAAGUGGUGUGCUGUGGUAUUCUGGCCAGAGACACAGCACAAAUAGAAAAAUGAAUGGUCAGCACUUCACUUGUUCUUCCAAGUCUAUGGUGAGGGUACAAAUUUGUAGUGAACUGAUCACCAUUUGAGUCAACUUGAGGACAAAAGAGAAACUAGUAAUAAAGAUCUUGGGAGACAACCUUGUGAUCUACAGGGAUUUGCUGGAUAAAUGCAUACCUUUCCUGCCUAAUGCCCAUGCUAUUCCUACUUCCUGGAAUGUUUUUACUCCAUCUCUUUGCUUGGCUGAGGUCAUUUAGGGACUCACUGUCUAUCUCCUCCUCUAAGCUCCAGAGAUACAGAGACCUCCCUUUCUUGUUCAUUGCUACAUUCCAGCAUCUAACAUAA